Nycticebus coucang (slow loris) is the source of this 104-nucleotide small nuclear RNA. NCBI's taxonomy places the organism in Eukaryota, Metazoa, Chordata, Mammalia, Primates, Lorisidae. The record is from RefSeq and is a predicted model, not a curated record.
GCACUCACUUCAGCAGCCCAGGUACUGAAAUUGGAACAAUACGGAGAUUAUCCUGGUUCCUGUGCAAGGAUGACACACAAAUUCAUGAAGCAUUCCAUAUUUUU